RNAcentral lists this ribosomal RNA (432 nucleotides) under uncultured bacterium. RNAcentral describes it as "partial 16S ribosomal RNA". It matches the Rfam family "Bacterial small subunit ribosomal RNA", at positions 29 to 506 of the family's 1533-position model. The record is from RNAcentral.
AACGAACGCUGGCGGCAUGCCUAACACAUGCAAGUCGAACGAGACCUUCGGGUCUAGUGGCGCACGGGUGCGUAACGCGUGGGAACCUGCCCUUAGGUUCGGAAUAACUCCCCGAAAGGGGUGCUAAUACCGGAUAAUGUCUUCGGACCAAAGAUUUAUCGCCUUUGGAUGGGCCCGCGUUGGAUUAGCUAGUUGGUAGGGUAAAAGCCUACCAAGGCGACGAUCCAUAGCUGGUCUGAGAGGAUGAUCAGCCACACUGGGACUGAGACACGGCCCAGACUCCUACGGGAGGCAGCAGUGGGGAAUAUUGGACACUGGGCGAAAGCCUGAUCCAGCACUGCCGCGUGAGUGAUGAAGGCCUUAGGGUUGUAAAGCUCUUUUACCCGGGAUGAUAAUGACAGUACCGGGAGAAUAAGCUCCGGCUAACUCCGU